CCUACGGGUGGCAGCAGUGAGGAAUAUUGGUCAAUGGGCGCAAGCCUGAACCAGCCAAGUCGCGUGAGGGAUGACGGUCCUAUGGAUGGUAAACAUCUUUUGUAGGGGAGCAAGGCCUGCCACGUGUGGCGGGAAGGAGAGUACCCGAAGAAAAAGCAACGGCUAACUCCGUGCCAGCAGCCGCGGUAAUAAGGAGGAUGCGAGCGUUAGCCGGAUGUAUUGGGUUAAAAGGAUGCGUAGGCGGAAGGUGAGGUCAGCGGUAAAAUGUCGGUGCUCAACACCGGCCUGCCGUUGAAACUGGUCUUCUUGAGUGAGCGAGAGGUAUGCGGAAUUCGAGGUGUAGCGGUGAAAUGCGUAGAUAUCUCGCAGAACUCCGAUUGCGAAGGCAGCAUACCGGCGCUCAACUGACGCUGAGGCACGAAAGCGUGGGGAUCGAACAGGAUUAGAUACCCGAGUAGUC
Molecule: ribosomal RNA, 460 nt
Filed under: uncultured bacterium
Lineage: Bacteria
Description: partial 16S ribosomal RNA
Rfam family: Bacterial small subunit ribosomal RNA
Source: RNAcentral